GGGAGAAACGCCUUUAUUUGGGGAUCCAUUGAAUGUUGUGGGGCGCUGUGGGGCACAGCGCUCUAUGGGGCAGCCCCACACAUCGCUAUGGGGCAGCCCCACACAUCAUUAUGGGGCACAGCGCUCUAUGGGGCAGCCCCACACAUCGUUACGGGGCACAGCGCUCUAUGGGGCAGCCCCACACAUCGUUACGGGGCACAGCGCUCUAUGGGGCAGCCCCACACAUCGUUACGGGGCACAGCGCUCUAUGGGGCAGCCCCACACGUCGCUAUGGGGCACAGCACUCUAUGGGGCAGCCCCACACGUCGCUAUGGGGCAGAGUGCUCUAUGGGGCGGCCCCACACGUCGCUAUGGGGCACAGCACGCUAUGGGGCAGCCCCACACCACGCUGUGGGGCACAGCACGCUAUGGGGCAGCCCCACACGUCGCUGUGGGGCACAGCGCUCUAUGGGGCAGAGCACUCUAUGGGGCAGCGCCACACGUUGCUAUGGGGCAGAGCACGCUAUGGGGCAGCCCCACACGUGGCUAUGGGGCACAGCGCUCUAUGGGGCAGCCCCACACGUCGCUAUGGGGCACAGCACGCUAUGGGGCAGAGCACUCUAUGGGGCACAGCACUCUACGGGGCAGCCCCACGCAUCGCUAUUGGGCAGAGCACACUAUGGGGCAGCCCCACACGUUGCUAUGGGGCACAGCACGCUAUGGGGCAGCCCCACACGUCGCUAUGGGGCACAGUGCUCUAUGGGGCAGCCCCAUAUGUCACUAUGGGGCACAGUGCUCUAUGGGGCAGCCCCACACAUCUCUAUAGGGCACAGCACCCUAUGGGGCAGCCCCACACAUCGCUUUGGGGCACAGCACUCUAUGGGGCAGCCCCACACGUCACUAUGGGGCAGAGCACGCUAUGGGGCAGCCCCACACGUCGCUAUGGGGCAGAGCACGCUAUGGGGCAGCCCCACACGUCGCUAUGGGGCAGAGCACUCCAUGGGGCAGUCCCACACGUCGCUAUGGGGCAGAGCACUCCAUGGGGCAGUCCCACACGUCGCUAUGGGGCAGAGCACUCCAUGGGGCAGUCCCACACAUCGCUAUGGGGCACAGCGCUCUAUGGGGCACUCUAUGGGGCAGCCCCGCACAUCGCUAUGGGGCAGGGCACGCUAUGGGGCAGCCCCACACGUCGCUAUGGGGCAGAGCACUCCAUGGGGCAGUCCCACACGUCGCUAUGGGGCACUCUAUGGGGCAGCCCCACAUGUCGCUGUGGAGCACAGCACGCUAUGGGGCAGCCCCACACAUCGCUAUGGGGCAGAGCACCCUAUGGGGCAGUGCCACACAUCGCUAUGGGGCAGCCCCACACCUCUCGUCUUCGUUGCCGUCCAUUGGCAGACCCUACAAAGAGAAAGCAGAGCUGUGAGCCCCCACCCCACAGACCCCAUUUGGGGGGGGUCCUCACCCCCCCCCACGGCCCUAUGGGGGUCCCUAUGGGGGGGGCUGCAACCCCAUAUCUCUAUAUGGGAUUGUAAGGGGGGGGUGGGACUCAAUGGGGUCCCUAUAGGGGUCCAAUUAUGGGGGGGGGUCCACACCUCCAUCUCCCUAUGGGGGCUUU
Long non-coding RNA from Gallus gallus (chicken), 1594 nucleotides. Lineage: Eukaryota; Metazoa; Chordata; Aves; Galliformes; Phasianidae. The record is from Ensembl.